This 253-nucleotide ribosomal RNA is filed under the name uncultured bacterium. RNAcentral's name for it is "partial 16S ribosomal RNA". It matches the Rfam family "Bacterial small subunit ribosomal RNA", at positions 524 to 776 of the family's 1533-position model. The record is from RNAcentral.
UACGAGGGGAGCAAGCGUUGUUCGGAUUUACUGGGCGUAAAGGGCGCGUAGGCGGCGUGACAAGUCACUUGUGAAAUCUCCGGGCUUAACCCGGAAAGGUCAAGUGAAACUGUCGUGCUAGAGUACAGAAGGGGCAACUGGAAUUCUUGGUGUAGCGGUGAAAUGCGUAGAUAUCAAGAGGAACACCUGAGGUGAAGACGGGUUGCUGGGCUGACACUGACGCUGAGGCGUGAAAGCCAGGGGAGCAAACGGG